Molecule: ribosomal RNA, 253 nt
Filed under: uncultured bacterium
Lineage: Bacteria
Description: partial 16S ribosomal RNA
Rfam family: Bacterial small subunit ribosomal RNA
Source: RNAcentral
UACGGAAGGGGCGAGCGUUGUUCGGAAUCAUUGGGCGUAAAGGGCGCGUAGGUGGUCUUGUAUGUCUACCGUGAAAGCGUACGGCUCAACCGUAUUUUGUCGGUAGAAACUGCAGGACUUGAGGCUGGGAGGGGCUGGUGGAAUUCCCUGUGUAGCGGUGAAAUGCGUAGAGAUGGGGGAGAACACUCGUGGCGAAGGCGGCCAGCUAGACCAGUUCUGACACUGAGGCGCGACAGCGUGGGGAGCAAACAGG